This 73-nucleotide transfer RNA is filed under the name Chloroflexota bacterium. RNAcentral describes it as "Chloroflexi bacterium tRNA-Pro". The record is from RNAcentral. Lineage: Bacteria; Bacillati; Chloroflexota.
GGAGAGAAUUGGCGCGGUUAGAGUACUGGUCUUGGGCACCAGGGUCCGCGGUUCGAGUCCGCGCUCCCCGACA